RNAcentral lists this small RNA (380 nucleotides) under Vigna angularis var. angularis. RNAcentral's name for it is "Non-protein coding transcript". Lineage: Eukaryota; Viridiplantae; Streptophyta; Magnoliopsida; Fabales; Fabaceae. The record is from RNAcentral.
CUCUUUUUCAUCAUCGGCGUAAGAAUGCAAUUUUUUAAAUUCAAAAAUGUGUUUUGACGUUGAUUUUGCCAAAUGCUCUGUUGAUAGUUGUUUGCACAAGCACUGUAAGCCAUUCUGAACAAAAUUGUUUCGUUUAUAUUUUAUUAGUAAGCAAUUGUUUCUGAUUUAGUGGCGACAAAAGGACGCUUGACGAGGUAGAUAUGAAGAUGACUGACAUUUUUGGUUGGCAGAAUUUUGAUGGUUCCAAAGUAUCUUUUCUUGUUCAAUUAUUCCUUGUUUCCUUUCCUUAAUCCUAAGUCUCCAGUUUUCAUUUAUCUGUCUUUUUAUUGAUUUUGUUUGAGAAGUUUGACUUUGGCUCAUGAUCUUUCUUUUCACAUUGU